GUGAGGAAUAUUGGUCAAUGGGCGAGAGCCUGAACCAGCCAAGUCGCGUGAAGGAAGAAGGAUCUAUGGUUCGUAAACUUCUUUUGCAGGGGAAUAAAGUGCAGGACGUGUUCUGUUUUGUAUGUACCCUGAGAAUAAGGAUCGGCUAACUCCGUGCCAGCAGCCGCGGUAAUACGGAGGAUCCGAGCGUUAUCCGGAUUUAUUGGGUUUAAAGGGUGCGUAGGUGGUUUGAUAAGUCAGCGGUGAAAGUUUGCAGCUUAACUGUAAAAAUGCCGUUGAAACUGUCGGACUUGAGUGUAAAUGAGGUAGGCGGGAUGCGUGGUGUAGCGGUGAAAUGCAUAGAUAUCACGCAGAACUCCGAUUGCGAAGGCAGCUUACUAAGCUACAACUGACACUGAAGCACGAAAGCGUGGGGAUCAAACAGGAUUAGAUACCCGAGUAGUCC
Molecule: ribosomal RNA, 445 nt
Filed under: uncultured bacterium
Lineage: Bacteria
Description: partial 16S ribosomal RNA
Rfam family: Bacterial small subunit ribosomal RNA
Source: RNAcentral